GGUUCGUGGCUCAGUGGUAGAGCACUCGCCUCACAUGUGUGAGGCACUGGGUUCUAUUCUCAGCACUG
Molecule: transfer RNA, 68 nt
Filed under: Marmota monax (woodchuck)
Lineage: Eukaryota; Metazoa; Chordata; Mammalia; Rodentia; Sciuridae
Description: tRNA.Val
Rfam family: tRNA (bases 6-64)
About the family: Transfer RNA (tRNA) molecules are approximately 80 nucleotides in length.
Source: RNAcentral